This 465-nucleotide ribosomal RNA is filed under the name uncultured bacterium. Its description in RNAcentral is "partial 16S ribosomal RNA". It matches the Rfam family "Bacterial small subunit ribosomal RNA", at positions 338 to 795 of the family's 1533-position model. The record is from RNAcentral.
CCUACGGGAGGCUGCAGUGGGGAAUUUUGGACAAUGGGCGCAAGCCUGAUCCAGCUAUUCCGCGUGUGGGAAGACGGCCUUCGGGUUGUAAACCACUUUUGUAGAGAACGAAAAGUCUGUUGAUAAUACCGAUAGAUGAUGACGGUACUCUAAGAAUAAGCACCGGCUAACUACGUGCCAGCAGCCGCGGUAAUACGGAGGGUGCGAGCGUUAAUCGGAAUUACUGGGCGUAAAGGGUGUGCAGGCGGUUUUGCAAGAUGGAUGUGAAAGCCCCGGGCUUAACCUGGGAAAGCCAUACAUGACUGCAAGACUAGAGUGCGGUAGAGGGGGGUGGAAUUCCAGGUGUAGCAGUGAAAUGCGUAGAUAUUUGGAAGAACACCGAUGGCGAAGGCAGCCCCCUGGGACGCAACUGACGCUCAUACACGAAAGCGUGGGGAGCAAACAGGAUUAGAUACCCCUGUAGUC